Long non-coding RNA from Homalodisca vitripennis (glassy-winged sharpshooter), 1684 nucleotides. RefSeq lists it as uncharacterized. The transcript has 2 exons. NCBI's taxonomy places the organism in Eukaryota, Metazoa, Arthropoda, Insecta, Hemiptera, Cicadellidae. The record is from RefSeq and is a predicted model, not a curated record.
GUAAAGUAAGGAGAUUGAUAGACGGAACUGUUCAAGCAUAUCUUUUACUAAAGCAUAUUUUCUUUAAAAUACUUACAUUUACAGCAACCAAAUUUUGGGUGGAUGUUAACAAUAGAGACCAGCUCCUCUCCUUGUAAGUGAUUUUCCAAGUUACCUACACAGCUAUUGUGGGUCUCUUAUCUAUACAGAUGACACAGUGCUACUCCUCGAGAGUAGAAAUAGAAUUUUUUAUAGCAUUGAGCACGGCUCAACAGUAUUGUACUGCAAAUGAAUUGCUACUUAACAAGAACAAGAGUGCACCAAACCAAGUACCUUGGAAUACUCAGAUGAUAAAGUGUCAUGGAAUAAUCACAUUGAAGUACUGAGGAGACUAAAACAAUUAAAACAGCAUAUUUCACCAUUUUGAAACCCAAUAUGGUCUGGAAGCUUGAGGAAGCUCCUCCAGAGUCUCAUUACUCCAGAAGAAGGCUAUACGUAUUCUCUCCAAUUUAGGCAAACACAAUACUAAACUAGCGUCAGAGUACAGUCUUAAUAAUAUUGUGACAGGUCAAAUUACGACAUUUAAAUAUUCGGGGGAAAUUAGCAGACGGUGAACCAAAUGACCGUGACACAAGUAAAUCGCAUGUUAUUGGAAUUGAGAUUUAUUUAAUUAAUAAUAGAGAAAUAUGUUAAACUUCAUACGGGAACAAAUUCAAAUAAUUAAACUGAGCUAAACAUAACCAAAAUUUGUUUUUACUAAAAGUACCAAAUAAAAUUACGCAGCCAAUUGUGGGAUGAAAUGACGCGUAUUGAUGACAUCAGACAGCACAUGUUGCAAAAAUUUAAAUAAAAAGCGAUAGAAAAAUAGUUAAAGAAAAUAGAGAGACUUAAAUUGAUCAAUUAUAGUGAACGUGAUAAAAUUCAAUAAUAAAAAAAAAAAAAAACAAAAACAAAAACUUAUAUUCAAUCGUGAAGACGCUAAUUUGAACGGGAGAGGGCUUGAGCAUUGUUUGAGACAGUACGCAAGGUUUUGGUCCCAGAAUCUUCCUUCUGUUUGGAGAGCUGAAGCAGAGAGGACGUCAGACGUGUAGAUCCACCUGGCAGUGAUGCAAUAUGGAAUUGUGGAAAGGUUAUAACCGGGCGAUGGGAUAUUGUUUUUAGUGAAUAAAUUAACAACAAAGCAAACGAUGAAGGCUGUGGUGAAAGAGAUAUGAUGAUGACCAAGCGUGACCAGCACAAUGGAUAAAACCAACGGACCACUAGUCAAGAUCGGCAAUGAACAUUUUAAAACCUGGCUCAAGAAUUUGGAUCCAGUAGCCAGGGUUGAAAAGAUGAGCACUAUCGCUAAAACUCAAGCUUCAGCUGGCCUGAAGGGACCAUUGAUCAAAGUUUCAUUAGCACAACUGUCACAAAGGUGUGAAGUGAGGUUGCUUAAACUGAGUGAUAGAGAAAUCAAGUUUGCAACAAGGAGGAAAUCUAUAAAGAGUGUUAAGCCUCUUGCCAGUUCUAAAACUCAAUUUGAAGACAGUUUAAAAAACCAACACAAGUUACCUACAAAUUCAAAGCAUAUUGUUGAUAAAAGUACAAGAACUGAAGACAGCAAAAUCAUGUUACUUUCAAAAUAUCCUGGAGAUUCUGCAGUUAAAACAAAAAAGUUUAAGCAGCUACAAAAUAACAAAAAAAUAAAGAUGUAACUUUAACAGCA